AGCAGUCGCCGCGGGAAUACGUAGGGUGCAAGCGUUAAUCGGAAUUACUGGGCGUAAAGCGUGCGCAGGCGGUUAUAUAAGACAGAUGUGAAAUCCCCGGGCUCAACCUGGGAACUGCAUUUGUGACUGUAUAGCUAGAGUACGGCAGAGGGGGAUGGAAUUCCGCGUGUAGCAGUGAAAUGCGUAGAUAUGCGGAGGAACACCGAUGGCGAAGGCAAUCCCCUGGGCCUGUACUGACGCUCAUGCACGAAAGCGUGGGGAGCAAACAGGAUUAGAUACCCGCGUAGUCCCUGUCUCUUAUAC
RNAcentral lists this ribosomal RNA (303 nucleotides) under uncultured bacterium. RNAcentral's name for it is "partial 16S ribosomal RNA". It matches the Rfam family "Bacterial small subunit ribosomal RNA", at positions 507 to 807 of the family's 1533-position model. The record is from RNAcentral.